GUGGAGGCAACGUUGGGAUACCACCCUGAUCGUAUCUAGGUUCUAACCUGGUACCGUAAUCCGGUGCGGGGACAGUGUCAGGUGGGCAGUUUGACUGGGGCGGUCGCCUCCUAAAGAGUAACGGAGGCGCCCAAAGGUUCCCUCAGAAUGGUUGGAAAUCAUUCGAAGAGUGCAAAGGCAUAAGGGAGCUUGACUGCGAGACCUACAAGUCGAGCAGGGACGAAAGUCGGGCUUAGUGAUCCGGUGGUACCGCAUGGAAGGGCCAUCGCUCAACGGAUAAAAGCUACCCUGGGGAUAACAGGCUUAUCUCCCCCAAGAGUCCACAUCGACGGGGAGGUUUGGCACCUCGAUGUCGGCUCAUCGCAUCCUGGGGCUGAAGUAGGUCCCAAGGGUUGGGCUGUUCGCCCAUUAAAGCGGUACGCGAGCUGGGUUCAGAACGUCGUGAGACAGUUCGGUCCCUAUCUGUCGUGGGCGUAGGAAAUUUGAGAGGAGCUGUCCUUAGUACGAGAGGACCGGGAUGGACGUACCGCUGGUGUACCAGUUGUUCCGCCAGGAGCACCGCUGGGUAGCUAUGUACGGACGGGAUAAACGCUGAAAGCAUCUAAGCGUGAAGCCCCCCUCAAGAUGAGAUUUCCCAGUAUGUAAGACCCCUUGAAGACGACGAGGUAGAUAGGCUGGGGGUGGAAGUGCAGCAAUGCAUGGAGCUGACCAGUACUAAUCGGUCGAGGGCUUAUCCAA
Molecule: ribosomal RNA, 738 nt
Filed under: Paenibacillus amylolyticus
Lineage: Bacteria; Bacillati; Bacillota; Bacilli; Caryophanales; Paenibacillaceae
Also listed under: 1 other name
Description: partial 23S ribosomal RNA
Rfam family: Bacterial large subunit ribosomal RNA
Source: RNAcentral